This 159-nucleotide ribosomal RNA is filed under the name Acridocarpus alternifolius. RNAcentral's name for it is "5.8S ribosomal RNA". It matches the Rfam family "5.8S ribosomal RNA". From Rfam's summary of the family: 5.8S ribosomal RNA (5.8S rRNA) is a component of the large subunit of the eukaryotic ribosome. It is transcribed by RNA polymerase I as part of the 45S precursor that also contains 18S and 28S rRNA. The record is from RNAcentral. Lineage: Eukaryota; Viridiplantae; Streptophyta; Magnoliopsida; Malpighiales; Malpighiaceae.
ACGACUCUCGGCAACGGAUAUCUCGGCUCUCGCAUCGAUGAAGAACGUAGCAAGAUGCGAUACUUGGUGUGAAUUGCAGAAUCCCGUGAACCAUCGAGUCUUUGAACGAAGUUGCGCCCGAAGUCUUUCGGCGGAGGGCACGUCUGCCUGGGUGUCGAA